GACGAACGCUGGCGGCGUGCUUAACACAUGCAAGUCGAACGGAAAGGCCCUGCUUUUGUUGGGUGCUCGAGUGGCGAACGGGUGAGUAACACGUGAGUAACCUGCCCUUGACUUUGGGAUAACUUCAGGAGACUGGGGCUAAUAUCGGAUAGGAGCUCCUGCUGCAUGGUGGUGGUUGGAAAGUUUCGGCGGUUGGGGAUGGACUCGCGGCUUAUCAGCUUGUUUGUGGGGUAGUGGCUUUCCAAGGCUUUGACGGGUAGCCGGCCUGAGAGGGUGACCGGCCACAUUGGGCCUGAGAUACGGACCAGACUCCUACGGGAGGCAGCAGUGGGGAAUCUUGCACAAUGGGCGGAAGCCUGAUGCAGCAACGCCGCGUGCGGGAUGACGGCCUUCGGGUUGUAAACCGCUUUCGCAUGUGACGAAGCGUGAGUGACGGUAAUGGGUAAAGAAGCACCGGCUAACUACGUG
This 468-nucleotide ribosomal RNA is filed under the name uncultured bacterium. RNAcentral describes it as "partial 16S ribosomal RNA". It matches the Rfam family "Bacterial small subunit ribosomal RNA", at positions 28 to 507 of the family's 1533-position model. The record is from RNAcentral.